CUCCAGUUAUGGUGACAUGGUGCCCAAGACCAUUGCCGGGAAGAUCUUUGGCUCCAUUUGCUCGCUGAGUGGGGUGCUGGUCAUUGCUCUGCCGGUUCCAGUUAUUGUUUCCAAC
Alligator mississippiensis (American alligator) is the source of this 115-nucleotide regulatory RNA element. It matches the Rfam family "Potassium channel RNA editing signal". From Rfam's summary of the family: This family represents a group of sequences related to the human potassium channel Kv1.1 hairpin element which directs the efficient modification of an adenosine to inosine by an adenosine deaminase acting on RNA (ADAR). The record is from Rfam. NCBI's taxonomy places the organism in Eukaryota, Metazoa, Chordata, Crocodylia, Alligatoridae.